RNAcentral lists this small RNA (131 nucleotides) under Arabidopsis thaliana (thale cress). RNAcentral's name for it is "ATSL081760". The record is from RNAcentral. Lineage: Eukaryota; Viridiplantae; Streptophyta; Magnoliopsida; Brassicales; Brassicaceae.
AUAAUAUUAUAUUUGUCUCCGUUAAUUCAGCAAAGUAUUAGUUUCUACAUAUACAUUUUUGCAGCCACUUUGUAAAAUAAAUCUUCAAGUUGAGACUUAUUUACAGUGGCUGUCACUGACAUUUAAUAAUU